Non-coding RNA from Peromyscus maniculatus bairdii (prairie deer mouse), 2987 nucleotides. NCBI's taxonomy places the organism in Eukaryota, Metazoa, Chordata, Mammalia, Rodentia, Cricetidae. The record is from RefSeq and is a predicted model, not a curated record.
UGUCCUGUGAAGGAAGGAGCAUGUAUGAAGUUAAAUGGAGUCUCCAAGAAUGGGUCAAGCUUCUGUCCUGAUUGUUUGCCCUGGGAUGUUCAUUGAGAUUAAGAGCGAAGAGAAAGAUAGUGAAUUGGACAAGCACAGAGACAUGUUCUCAGCCAUAUGAGGAAGGUGAAAACCGAUUUCAUAGAAGAAAGAACCUACCUCACACAGGAGGAGAUGAAGGAGUGUUUCUCCAGAGAGAGAUUCAGCUGAGCCUAGAGGAUCAGCCAACUGCCUCAGGAAAGUGGACACGGCAACUAAGAUGUGUGCUCUGGGAACCCCACUCAAGUCAUCUAGAAAAGCAGCAAGUAUUUUUCACUGCUGAGACAUCUGCAGCAAGCAAGGCCUGCUUCUUACCAUGUGCGAGAUUGGGUCCACAAGGCUCCGGCUGGCAGGAAGCAGCUAUCCACGACAGAUGCUUAACUGCUCAUACCGGGAUAGCAGGAGGAACCCCAAAGACCUGGCUGGAAGGAAGAGAGCCACCCCCCACCCCUUGCUUAAUUACUCAGUUGGGAACAAGCCACCUAGUACCACCAAGGCCCCGGCUGGUGGGAAGAGAGCUGCCAGGAGUCCACAAGACUCUAGCUGGAAGGAAUGAAACUAUCCCCGACUGAUGCUUAACUGCUCAUACCGGGGAUAGCAGGCAGGACCCCCAAAGAGAGCCACCCCCCAGCCGGGGAUAUUCAACAGGAAACCUGAAGACACCAGCUGGCAGUAAGAGAGCCACCCCUGCCAUGAUUAACUACUGAGAAAGGGAGAAGCCAACUGGGACAUCCAAGACCCCAGCUAGUGGGAACAGAGCAACCCGGGAUUCUAAAGGCUCCUGCUAGGGGGUAGAGAGCAACCAUGCCUGAAGCUUAACUGUUCAGACAGGGUCCAAGACCCGCAUAUUUCCAGUUGGUGGGAAGACAGUGAAGCAGUGUCCCCAAGGCCCUGUCUGGCAGCAUGUCAGCCACCCGGGGUCCUCAAGGCCCUGGUUGGAGAUUGACAACAUCAAGGAGAUCCUCAAGGCUUCACCUGACACGAAAACAGCUACCCUGCCUGAUGCUUAACUGCUCAGACAGGUGCCGGAACACCUAUGUCUCUGGGUGGCAGGAAGACACCCACCCUGGUUCCUCAAGGCCCUGUCUGGGGGGAUGUCAGCCACCGGGGUCUUCAAGGCCCUGGAUGGAGGAUGAAAGUACCCGAGAACCUCAAGGCUCUGGCUGAUGGGAAAACAGAUACCCUGCCUGAUGCUUAACAGUUCAGAGAGGUGCGGGGAUCCCCAUAACUCCGGGUGGUAGGAAGACAGCGACCUGGGAUCCUUGAGGCCCUGGCUAGCCUGAAAGCAGCCAACUGGGGGCCUCAAGACCCUGACUGGUGAGAUGCCACCUCCCAGGGUCCUCAAAUCUCCUCGAGAUGUUAAGACUUCUAGCACUGACUGAUGAUUAACUGCUCAGACCAGUCCUAGCCAGCAGAACUUCCUAGGCCCAGGCUGGAUGGAAGACUGCCACCCCAACCUGAGACUUAGUAUCUCAGACUCAGCCAGGCAAUGGGACACCCAAACCCCUUCAGAGAGGAAGGCACCCACCGUGGUCCACAAGGCUCCAGCUACUGAGAAGACAGCCAACCCUGCCUGAUGCUUAACUGUUCAAAAGGGUUCUAGCGCUUGUGAAACCCCAAGGCCCUGGCUGGUGAGGAGUGAGUCACCGCGGAUCCUCAAGGACCUGGCCGGUAGGAUGACUGCCACCUCCACCUGAUGCUUAACUGCUCAGACAAGGGCCAGGUGCCUGGGAACAUCAAGGCCUCCACUGUUGCCAUGACAGCCACUUAGGGUCCUCAUGGCCCAGGCUGAUGGGAUGACACAUACCAAGGGCCUUGAAGUCCUCAGCUGGGGGAGUGACUGCCACUCAGUGUCCUCAGAGCUGUAGCUGGUGGGAAGACAGGCACCCCCCACCUGAUGCUUAACCCGUAGCAAAUUCUCAGACAGACGCUAGCUGGCCUGAACACCCGAAGAACCUGGCUGGUGGGAUUCCAGACAGCCAUGCAUCAUGACUAACUGCUGCAUUGCCGGCUAGCCUUUGGGACCCCCGAGGCUCUGGCAGGCAGGAAGAGGCCACCCAUGGUCCUCAAGUCUUUGGGUGGCAAGAAGACAGCCUCCCCUGCCUGAUGGGUAACUGCUCAGACAGGGGUCAGCUCACUAUGGCCACCAAGGUGCCGGCUGGCAGGGAAACAGCCACCCUGCCUGAUGAUUAAUGUUCAGACAGGAGCAGGGAACCACAUUAUCAGCGUGUGGCAGGAAGACAGCCAACCCGGUUCCUCAAGGUUCUGGCUAGUCAGAAGACAGCUGCCCCACCUGAUGCUUUACUGCUCAGUAGGGUGCUGGCCGUUCAGGAACCCCAGGGCCCUGGCUGUCGGGAAGACAGCCACCUGGGGUCCUCAAGGCACUGGCUGGUGGGAUGACGCCCAACCAGGGUCCUCAAGGCUCCUCCUGAUGGAAAGACAGCCAGCCUUGUCUGAUGCUUAGCUGCUCAGAUGGGUGCUGGCCGUUCAGGAACCCCAAAAGCAUGGCUGUGGGGAGAGAGCCGGCCAGGGUCCUUAAGGCCCUGGGUGGUGACCUGCGAGCCACCCAGGGUACACAAGGACUUGGGCAGGAGGAUGACAGCCACCUCCACCUGAUGCUAAGGAACUACUCAAACAAGGGUGAGUUGACUGGGAACCCCAAGGUCCCCUUGAUGGGAUAACAGCCACUUAGUGUCCUCAUGGCCCAGGUUGUUGGAAUGAUAGCCACCCAGGUUCGUCAGUGUCACAGCAGGUAGAAUAACGGCCACUUGGAGUCCUAAGGGCUGUGGCUGGUGGGAAGACAGGCACCCCCCACCUGGGGCUUAACCCCUAGACACUGCUCAGACAGAUGCUAGCUGGCUUGAACCCCGAAGAACGCGGCUAGUGGGAUUCCAGCCAUUUAUCCGUCA